This is a long non-coding RNA of Homo sapiens (human), 4089 nucleotides long. RefSeq lists it as uncharacterized. NCBI's taxonomy places the organism in Eukaryota, Metazoa, Chordata, Mammalia, Primates, Hominidae. The record is from RefSeq and is a predicted model, not a curated record. The transcript has 4 exons.
UUCAGAAUGAACAUCACCUCACUGGAGUUCAAGGCUCUGCAACUCGUACGUGCUUCAGAAUCCCUGGGAAGCUAAACGUUAAGAUCCUUUUGAAGUCUGAACUCUGGCUGACAGAACGUAAGAGGGACAGAAGAAGAUCUUCCUGCUAUAAUGCCAGGGCCCAGUACCCACACUGGGGGCCUGUGGUGCCCAAGGUGUCUCCAGCCAGGCCUAUGCCUGAGAGUUAAGAGAGGACACAGCAACAAGUUGGCGCCAUGUCUAUUUCCUCUUGGGAUCCAUGGUGCCUACGCAGAGUCUGGCCCAGAGCAAGGAUUAAGGGUCUUGGCCGAAAAAAAGUGAAGCUUAUUUUAAGCAAGAACUUAAAACAGACUCUCACCUAAGGACCACCACCCAGGCGAGGGCUUCUUGGGCCAUUAACAUCCUUGACCUCAAAGAUGGAAAUUGCAAGAUGGGAGACUGAGAGUGCCGUUCAAGGUUCCCUAAUGUGAGCCAUUGGAGACAUGGCUGGGAUCAACUUUAACCUAUCUCUGCUCAAAAGGUGUCAACCUUGUCCACAUCAGCCAGGAUGUCAAGGUGGAGAGGAUAGAAAUUCCGGAUCUGGCUGAGUCUAGUGCCCACCAGAGAAAACUUUGGCCUUUAAUCUGGGAUUUUUACAUCAUUUUCUUCUCUAACAGAGGGAGAGAGAGGGGCAUGAGUUGGGUCCACCAAUUGGGACAAGCAGGUCCAACCUGCUUCUCUGCUGUCUUCAAUUCCAUUCAGACCCCUACGCCCUGCUGCCUAGCACCUCCACCUUCCCCUCUGGGGCUCCAGCAAAGAGGAAGGCAGUCAGAACCACUCCAAAGGGUCCAAUCUCCUUGCAUUCCAGCCCUGGCCAAAGUCAGCCCGGGAACAAGUGGAGAGCCCCUCUUGAAGGAAGUGAUUCAGAAACCAUGAUGGCCUGGCGGCCCGCCGUGACUCACAGCACAUCAAUGGGGGAAUUGUCUGUAGAAGCCGAGAAUUCCAAAGCUCUUUUCUUUCCUUUCUUACUUACUUUCUUUUUUUUCUUUCUUUCUUUCUUUUUUGCCCUCCCCUUGGCGGCAUUGUGCAACAGCAGGGCUGCCCAGAAACAUGUGGUUUUCAUCAUUGGCUCCACAGCUGCCCUAGAGCACUGUGGAGAAAAUAAGAUGGAGAGGGAACAGGAUACAAGGGGACCUGUCGCGGUCAAGCAGGGUCCUUCUCUUUCCCCCCACCUUUCUUGUCAACACCAACAUCCUCAAAGAGCAUCUGGAACGGAAGGGAAUAGAAUUUUGGAUCUGGGAGAAAACUUAGAGUAUGUCUCAUCCAAUAACUCUAUGUACAGAUGAGGAAACUGAGGCCUCAAGAGGGGACGUAAGUGGCUUGGCAAAUGUCCACAGCCAAGUUGCAUCUUGCAUCUUGCUGCAGUGACUGACUUUUCUUAGCCUCCAAGUCAGGAAAUGUAGUUUGACAAAGGAUAAUUUUUUUCCAUGGAAUGUGACAGAUGAAAAGUCAUACCAAGUUUAGUUAUAAAUCUCUCCAUUGUCCCUUUCCCCUUAUCUACCAGUCUAGGGAGUCUGUUUUACCCGGAGUCAUCUGUGGGGACACGUGCAAAAUCUAAAGGUCUUUUUGCAGUUGUCAUCUGAUUGGUCAUCUCUGUAGCAUGUGAAUUAAUGUCCACAGGUUUCCAGGUAUUCCCCCUAUGCAUCCACUCCUACCUCUGCAACGUCUCCUUUUCGGCAUUCUUUUCUCCUCCCUUGGCUCUCAGAUGCCUUAGUUCUAUAGGGCUGUCUUAUCUUAACUCAUAUCCAUGUUCACGGUUUCAGUGGCUAUCAUUCAGCUGAGGACUCCCAAAUCUUAUCUAUAGUCUGUUCAUCAUUCCUGAGCUACAGACGUGUACAUACAGCUGCCUUCUCAGUGCCUUUCUUGGAUUCCCCAGAUGGAACUCAUCAUUUCCCUCCAUAGCUCUUUGACUACUUUGAUUUUAUUACCAAGUAACUAUGGGACCAAUAUAGUCAGUGUUCCAAAGCACAUGCUUUGGCAUCUUAUUGACCUGGGCCUGACUCCCAGAUAUGCCACUUAACUGGCUACGGGUCUUUGGCCAAGUUACUGACCUUUCCAAGUUCCUCAUCUGUAAAAUGGGGGUAAUAAAAAUACCUACUUCAUAAGGCUGUCAUUAAGAGGAAAUGAGUUAAUACAAUAGCAUUAACACAAUGCCUGGCACAUAAUAAAUACUCAAUUACUGCUGAGCUGUUAUUUUUAUUAUGUACCUCAGCAUCCUCCCAACUUGAGCCACACUGAAUUCUUAGCACUUAAAAUAUUUACUGACCACAUAUGUGUUCCAAGCACUGUGCGUGGUAUAGAAUUACAUGAGUGGAUAGAUGAAUUUUCUGUUUUAAAAUUGCCUUACAAAGUAUCCCCAUUUUACAGAUGAGGAAGACAAUCACUUUCUGAGAAAAGCAAACAACCAACCAAGAGAUUCCCUCAUGUUCCUUCUUACUAGCCAAUAAUUUAUACUGAAUAUGAUGACACAGAAAAAAAGAAAAAGGUAGGCCAAUUCAUAGUUCACUUUUCUUUUAGUCCUUACUUACUCAACAGUAAGCCUCAAGUAGAGGGGGUUGGAAGAAUGUGUGUGCAUCCAGAAGUGAAAUAAAAACAGUUGAGUUAGUUUUGUGUAGCAUGGUUGUGUAAGAGGAAACCCCUUUCGCUUGGCUCUCAUUUUCUCUUGCUGCCGCCAUGUAAGACGUGCCUUUCGCCUUCUGCCAUGAUUGUGAGGCCUCCCCAGCCAUGUGAAACUGUAAGCCCAUUCAACUUGUUUUUCUUUUCUUUUCUUCUCUUUUUUUUUUUUUUUGAGUCUCACUCUGUCGCCCAGGCUGGAGUGCAGUGGCGCCAUCUUGGCUCACUGCAAGCUCCGCCUCCCGGGUUCACGCCAUUCUCCUGCCUCAGCCGCCCGAAUAGCUGGGAGUAUAGGCACCCACCACCACGCCCGGCUAAUUUUUUGUAUUUUUAGUAGAGACGGGGUUUCACCGUGUUAGCCAGCAUGGUCUCGAUCUCCUGACCUCGUGAUCCACCUGCCUCGGCCUCCCAAAGUGCUGGGAUUACAGGCAUGAGCCACCACGCCCAGCCUAAACCUCUUUUUCUUUAUAAGUUACCCAGUCUCGGGUAUGUCUUUAUUAGCAGUGUGGGAACUGACUAAUACAGCAUGUAGGAACUAUGAAAUAUGAAUUGUGUAAUUUUAUUGAUUCUGCUUAUGAGUUCAAUGUUUUCAUAUUUGCAUUUAAAAUUUUGCAUUGCACAAUGUAAAAGUAAAUGGUAAAAUCCACGUGAAUAAUGUAAAAUUUCAUUUAUUUAUUUUACCUAGAAUGAUAUUAAAUAGCAAUUAAAACAGCAUUAUGACAAGUCAAGAGAGAGAUAGUGGAAGGAAAGAAAAAGCUUUAUAUUUAGUAUCUUUAACAGCAUUCCCCCCCCACACUGCACAUUUUGAAAAAGGGAUCCUGCAAAUUAUGUAGCCAUCCCUGACUAAGAUAGGGAAAUGUCUUUGAAUUUUAGACUUGAGAAGAGACUAUGAAAAGUCUCUCAGAGAACCCUGCUCUGCUCACCACCCAUCAUAUUGUAUGUGAAGAUGGUAAGAGCUACAGGGAGUCUUAAGGUCACACAGGGAGCAAGUAGAUAAACCAAGACUGGUGCCCAUGCCAUCUGACUCCAUUCCUUCCUAGUCUAGCAUUCUUCACCUAAUGUGUGCUCUUCCUUCUGUCAGAAAUCCCACCUUAUGACUUGGAGAUAAGAUUUCCCCUUUGCAAUUGAAACCAUCCAAUCAGUACUUGGCUGAUGAUGUGCAAUUGAUAUGCCUUCCAUCCAAGGCCAGGGAGACUUGGCCAGCACUUGGUUAAAAGUAAUAAAUAGUUUUCAGGGGAAAAUCUAGUGGUCGGUGUUUUAGUCCUUGUCUUUCUUGACCUAACAGCAGCAUUUAUUUAUUUAUUUAUUAUUUUUUAUUUCCAUAGGUUUUUGGGGAACAGGAGGUGUCUGGUUACAUGAAUGAGUCCUUUAGUGGUGAUAUCUGAGAUUUUGGUGCACCUGUCACUCGAGCAGCAUACA